This is a long non-coding RNA of Sapajus apella (tufted capuchin), 1953 nucleotides long. RefSeq lists it as uncharacterized. The record is from RefSeq and is a predicted model, not a curated record. The transcript has 2 exons. Lineage: Eukaryota; Metazoa; Chordata; Mammalia; Primates; Cebidae.
CCUGCAAAUUACAUUAAAAGAGAUUAGAUGAGAAGGCCAUAGCAUGUCUAACGUGCAAGACCAUGUUACUUGGACCUCUGGGGGAGAGAGGGGUGAUUCUUGAUUUUGCUUCAUUAACAAAUUGUAAUGAGAAUCUUUUUUCAUCUUUCAGUAACAAAUUCCAAGUCCUUUAAAAAAAAAUGGAAAACAGGCCAAAUUCUUCCAAAUAAGUAUAAAUCUCAACUGAAUAUAAGCACUAUUGCAAGGAAGCCACCAGGAUGUCUCCACAUUAAUUUUGUAUGCAGCCACACUCUGUUCUGUCCAUCUUCUGAAUAAUGUAAAGGUAACCAAGAGUCCCCUGCCCCAUCAGUUCUUACCUGGUUAAACAAGUCAAUAAUGUUUUCAAGCAUCUUAGCAGCUUUUCUUUUCUUUUCCUCCAGUUGUUCUGAUUGUUUUAUCUUCAUUUCAACAGCUGUACUAAACAAUGCCUGCAGCAAAAGCAUACAAAAUCAUUCUCAAAACACUAUCCAAGUCCUAAUCAUAAGUUCUAUUAUUCUACCCAGCCCACUUUUCCGUCUUAGUCAAUCUGGAGAAAAUGAGGGGAAAAAUACUGGGAGCCUUAAAAUGUAUGAAAUUAAUGUAAGAUCACAUGAGAACCCAAAGAUAGUACCAGGGAAAAAAAUUUUAUUGUGGAUUAUAUAACUGGUAAUAAAAAUUUAAACGUGAUUACAAAGAAAAUACCACCGUGACAAGAGGUGAACACACACAAUGAGUUCAGGUUUUCCCUUCAACCAGCUAAAUCAUUUCUGUGCAACCAGGUUACUUAGAGCCUGUCUGUAUUCUUUUUACUUUGAAGGAUAUAAUUCACUGCAGCUAAUACAGUUUUAUUCUAAAACUUAAAGGUAUGAGCUAGGCAAAAUUAGAGAGUUCACAAUAUUUAUCAAAAUAUGGCGAAUAGUGCCAUGGAUACUUAUUACAAUAUAUAAUAUAGAUGCUUCUCAAGAGUCUCAUCUCAUUUGGAAACACCCAUCUUUUUUUUUUUACUGCCUUCAAGAGGCCUAAAACUAAGCAAGAUUAGCAUACUAUGCUCAACUACUUGAUAAAAUACAUUUUUCUUGAUAAAAUAAGGCACAGGCUAGUCACUUAUUUUUGUAAAGUUUUACUGGAACACAACCACACCCAUUAAUUUAAGCUAGAUCAGCAGAGUUGAGCAGCUGCAUCAGAGACCUUAUGGCCUGAAAAAUCCAAAAAUAUUUACUGUCUACCUUUUAAAAAAUAAUUUACCAACUUCUUCUACUAGAUCACUGAAGUUAUAUCUUAAUAGCAUUUUGUAGGAACUUAUUUUUCCCCUUUUUAUAUUUAUGCCCUCCAAAAGCCAGUUUUAAAUUGAGGAAAAUUAUUUAGCUUACACUCAAAUGUAAGCCACCUCAAGUGCAUUCGUUAAAUGAGGUCAGUAUAAAAACAUUUUUAAAAUAUUCUGAACAUUAUGAAUCUACUAAGAACUACUUAACUAUACACUUUAAAGUAUAAUUUUAUGUAAAAUGUGAAUUUUACAUUAUAUAAGUUGAAACGUUUUUCAAAUACUGUCUGCUAAGAAAGCCAUUAAAAAAUUUCAUAUGCCUAUCACUAGUUACCUUAAAUUGAUUUUCACUUCUUUUUAUUAAUUAUCAACUUUCCAACACUUUGCAAUUCACCAUAGCUACUGAAUUUUUCUUUUCCCCUCCUAUGGCCAGUUGGAAAAUGCAGACAAAAUGCUUAUAAGAAAAUUAAGAACUGCAAAUUUUAAACUAUUCAAAACACCUUAGUAUAUCUCUUCACAUUCAAAGAAGAAUCAUUAUAAUCUAACAGAGAAUCACAGUUUUAUAACACAUCAAUAUAUAAGAUAACAGAAUCUUUUUGUCACAUCCAAUUAUUUCAACAAAGUACGGUAUUACCUAUUAUGUCCCAGAUACGGAAGUCUCAUCAUAAAAAAAA